CCCUUAGAUGUUCUGGGCCGCACGCGCGCUACACUGACUGGUGCAACAAGUGUCGCUCCUUGGCCGAUAGGCCUGGGCAAUCUUUGAACGCUGUUCGUGAUUGGGAUAGACCUUUGCAAUUAUGGGUCUUCAACGAGGAAUUCCUAGUAAACGCAAGUCAUCAGCUUGCAUUGAUUACGUCCCUGCCCUUUGUACACACCGCCCGUCGCACCUACCGAUUGAAUGGUCCGGUGAAAUCUCGGGACGGCGGCUUGGUCGCUUGCGUCCGACUGCUGAAACUUGAUUAAACCAUAUCAUUUAGAGGAAGGUGAAGUCGUAACA
This 321-nucleotide ribosomal RNA is filed under the name uncultured eukaryote. RNAcentral describes it as "partial 18S ribosomal RNA". It matches the Rfam family "Eukaryotic small subunit ribosomal RNA", at positions 1470 to 1796 of the family's 1831-position model. The record is from RNAcentral.